RNAcentral lists this ribosomal RNA (248 nucleotides) under uncultured bacterium. RNAcentral describes it as "partial 16S ribosomal RNA". It matches the Rfam family "Bacterial small subunit ribosomal RNA", at positions 96 to 354 of the family's 1533-position model. The record is from RNAcentral.
CGGCGAACGGGUGAGUAACACGUAGGUGAUCUGCCCAUCAGACGGGGACAACGAUUGGAAACGAUCGCUAAUACCGGAUAGGACGAAAGUUUAAAGAUGCUCCUGGCAUCACUGAUGGAUGAGCCUGCGGCGCAUUAGCUAGUUGGUGGGGUAAAGGCCUACCAAGGCGAUGAUGCGUAGCCGACCUGAGAGGGUGAACGGCCACACUGGGACUGAGACACGGCCCAGACUCCUACGGAAGGCAGCAG